Molecule: non-coding RNA, 95 nt
Organism: Trabulsiella guamensis ATCC 49490
Lineage: Bacteria; Pseudomonadati; Pseudomonadota; Gammaproteobacteria; Enterobacterales; Enterobacteriaceae
Source: Rfam
GAUGGCUGGUGGCGCACUUCCUGUUAACGGGCAAGUGUCGUACGUCUGCAAUCCGCAUACAGAUACCAGGCCCGCGUAUAAGCGGGCUUUUUUUU